GAGUUAAAUGUUCAAGGUAUCGGAUGGGCAUGCGUCCUAUUAGUUAGUUGGCGGGGUAACAGCCCACCAAGACGAUGAUAGGUAGGGGUUCUGAGAGGAAGGUCCCCCACAUUGGAACUGAGACACGGUCCAAACUCCUACGGGAGGCAGCAGUGAGGAAUAUUGGUCAAUGGACGUAAGUCUGAACCAGCCAAGUCGCGUGAGGGAAGACUGCCCUAUGGGUUGUAAACCUCUUUUAUAAGGGAAGAAUAAGUUCUACGUGUAGAAUGAUGCCUGUACCUUAUGAAUAAGCAUCGGCUAACUCCGUGCCAGCAGCCGCGGUAAUACGGAGGAUGCGAGCGUUAUCCGGAUUUAUUGGGUUUAAAGGGUGCGUAGGCGGUUUAUUAAGUUAGUGGUUAAAUAUUUGAGCUAAACUCAAUUGUGCCAUUAAUACUGGUAAACUGGAGUACAGACGAGGUAGGCGGAAUAAGUUAAGUAGCGGUGAAAUGCAUAGAUAUAACUUAGAACUCCGAUAGCGAAGGCAGCUUACCAGACUGUAACUGACGCUGAUGCACGAGAGCGUGGGUAGCGAACAGGAUUAGAUACCCUGGUAGUCCACGCCGUAAACGAUGCUCACUGGUUCUGUGCGAUAUAUUGUACGGGAUUAAGCGAAAGUAUUAAGUGAGCCACCUGGGGAGUACGUCGGCAACGAUGAAACUCAAAGGAAUUGACGGGGGCCCGCACAAGCGGAGGAACAUGUGGUUUAAUUCGAUGAUACGCGAGGAACCUUACCUGGGUUUAAAUGGGAAAUGUCGUAUUUGGAAACAGAUAUUCUCUUCGGAGCGUUUUUCAAGGUGCUGCAUGGUUGUCGUCAGCUCGUGCCGUGAGGUGUCGGGUUAAGUCCCAUAACGAGCGCAACCCUUACCGUUAGUUGCUAGCAUGUAAUGAUGAGCACUCUAACGGGACUGCCACCGUAAGGUGAGAGGAAGGCGGGGAUGACGUCAAAUCAGCACGGCCCUUACACCCAGGGCUACACACGUGUUACAAUGGCCGGUACAGAGGGCCGCUACCAGGUGACUGGAUGCCAAUCUCAAAAGCCGGUCGUAGUUCGGAUUGGAGUCUGUAACCCGACUCCAUGAAGUUGGAUUCGCUAGUAAUCGCGCAUCAGCCAUGGCGCGGUGAAUACGUUCCCGGGCCUUGUACACACCGCCCGUCAAGCCAUGGAA
This 1205-nucleotide ribosomal RNA is filed under the name gut metagenome. Its description in RNAcentral is "bacterial SSU rRNA". It matches the Rfam family "Bacterial small subunit ribosomal RNA", at positions 198 to 1409 of the family's 1533-position model. The record is from RNAcentral.